This 73-nucleotide transfer RNA is filed under the name bacterium. RNAcentral describes it as "tRNA-Arg". It matches the Rfam family "tRNA". From Rfam's summary of the family: Transfer RNA (tRNA) molecules are approximately 80 nucleotides in length. The record is from RNAcentral.
CUCCGCGUAGCUCAGAGGAUAGAGCGGCCGCCUCCUAAGCGGCAGGUCGGCGGUUCGAUUCCGCCCGUGGAGA